UAGCAGCUGGAGGAUAAGGAAGUAGGGGAAAUCCUUGAGAGACGUUAAACGGUCUUCACGAGGCCAAUUAAAAACACGAUUUUAAACAUCAAAAGAAUACUAUGAAUUGUUUAAUGAUUUAUACAUAUGUAGUAAAAGUAUAAAGAAAUGCAUACAAAUAUACCUAAAUUCAGGAUAGUGGUUACUUGAGGGGCAGAGAAGGUCCGAGAUGUGCUAGGUACCUGACAGAUUGCAGCUUUCCUUAGAGUCUACGUGGUAGGUAUCAUUGGCCCAUUUUACAGACAAGGAAAUUGAGACUUGGGGAAGUGAACUGGCCAGAAUUCUAGUUCCACUCGGUUUUGACGUCGGAUUCACCAGCUGAACGAAUGAAAGGACGGCCUCGGACUCGCUCUCCAGGCCUCUCUCCGCGCGCUCUUCCAGGAUUCCGUACUCGAGGUCGAUAGACCGCACAGGAUAAAUCUGGACCCUCAGCUGCUUUUUUAGCCGAGAUCAAAGUCCGUUCCUAUCCCGCCCCGCGCAUUGGGUCCCGCCCCGGGCGGUUGAGCCCCAGUGGGACUCAUGAAUAUGCAAGUAAGAAGAUAUUUAAAGGCGCCGCCGCCAGGCGCAGAUUCUUGCCCGGCGUCGCCCGCCCAGUACCUCUCCUCAGCGCGAGGCCCGGCCUCCUUCGCCCUGGAUCUUCACUCCGUGCCGAAGCGCCGCCAGCAUGUCGGACAAACUGCCCUACAAAGUCGCUGACAUCAGCCUGGCCUCUUGGGGACGCAAGGCCCUGGACAUUGCGGAGAAUGAGAUGCCGGGCCUGAUGCGCAUGCGGGAGAUGUACUCAGCCUCCAAGCCACUGAAGGGUGCCCGCAUCGCUGGAUGCCUUCACAUGACUGUGGAGACAGCUGUCCUCAUUGAGACCCUCAUUGCCCUGGGUGCUGAGGUGCAGUGGUCCAGCUGCAACAUCUUCUCCACCCAGGACCAUGCCGCAGCUGCCAUUGCCAAGGCUGGCAUUCCAGUGUAUGCCUGGAAGGGCGAAACAGACGAGGAGUACCUGUGGUGCAUCGAGCAAACUCUGUACUUCAAGGAUGGGCCCCUCAACAUGAUUCUGGACGAUGGCGGUGACCUCACCAACCUUAUUCACACCAAGUACCCGCAGCUCCUGUCAGGCAUCCGAGGCAUCUCCGAGGAGACCACAACUGGGGUCCACAACCUAUACAAGAUGAUGGCCAACGGGAUCCUGAAGGUGCCUGCCAUCAAUGUCAACGACUCGGUCACCAAGAGCAAGUUUGACAACCUGUAUGGUUGCCGGGAGUCCCUCAUAGAUGGCAUCAAGCGGGCCACAGACGUGAUGAUUGCAGGCAAGGUGGCGGUGGUGGCAGGCUAUGGUGACGUGGGCAAGGGCUGUGCCCAGGCCCUGAGAGGUUUCGGGGCUCGUGUCAUCAUCACCGAGAUUGACCCCAUCAACGCGCUGCAGGCUGCCAUGGAGGGCUAUGAGGUGACCACCAUGGAGGAGGCCUGUCAGGAGGGCAACAUCUUUGUCACCACCACAGGCUGUGUCGACAUCAUCCUUGGCCGGCACUUUGAGCAGAUGAAAGAUGAUGCUAUCGUGUGUAACAUCGGACACUUUGAUGUGGAGAUUGAUGUCAAGUGGCUCAACGAGAACGCUGUGGAGAAGGUGAACAUAAAGCCUCAGGUGGACCGCUAUCGGCUGAAGAAUGGGCACCACGUCAUUCUGCUGGCCGAGGGCCGGCUGGUCAAUCUGGGCUGUGCCAUGGGCCACCCCAGCUUCGUGAUGAGCAACUCCUUCACCAACCAAGUGCUGGCACAGAUUGAACUGUGGACCCACCCGGACAAGUACCCCGUCGGUGUCCACUUCCUGCCCAAGAAGGUGGGUUCCUACCUCCAUCCCAGGCCAAGGGCCAUGUGUCUCUCCCUAGCUUCCUAUGCCAGGCUCAUCAGAAUUUAGAAAGUGUUUGCCUGUCUGCCCUCUUAGAGUAGAGGUCCUCACAGGAUCCUACAGGGAAGAAAUCAUUCUCCCCAUUUGACAGAGGAGGAAACAGACCUAAAGUAGGGAAUGACUCCCCUGGAGCACACCCAGAGUGCAGAGCUGGUAAUGGGAAGAGCAUGGGCUUUGGAAUAAGACACAUCAGGUUUGAAUCUCAGCUUCACCCCUUAUAGGCUGUGUAACUGGGGGCAAGUUACUUAGCUUCUCUGUGUCUCCAUUUCCUCAUGUAUAAAAUGAAGGCGGUAGGUCUCCUUUAGGGAUUAUGAGGGUUUCCUUAGGUCAGGACUCACAAACCCACAUGCUCACAGGGAUCAAGUCAGUGAGUAAAGCGGGUUGGGUGGGAACUGAGAAACGGAAGAGCAGAUGUCCCACUGAAAAGGGGUGGCUGCCACUCAGCUGACGUUACCCUUGAACCCGAGCCUAUUGGGCCAGAGCUUCUGACCUUUGAAGAGAAGCCAGAUGUCAAGAUCUUUGUAUGGAAUACUCAAUUUUUAAAUCUAGGCAACUCGUUACAGUUUUUAAAAAUCACCUGGGUGGUCAACCUGGACACGUCUAUAAGCCGAGUGUAGCUCACAGGCUGCAGUUCCGUGGCCUUAGAAUGAGAUGGUACAGAUAAUACACUAAGCACGGCACCUAACUCGCUGUGGCGUGUGGUCCGGGUAACCAUGACGAUCAGGUACUCUGACAUCAAAUCCAGCGCUCAUCCUAACACCCCAUGCAGCCUGCCCACCCCAGGGGUCAGAAUUGCCGUGUUUAAGUCCUGGCUCUUUUUGCCAGUGUCACAGGUGAACUUGGUGUUGCCAUUUGCCCUUUCUGGGCCUUAGUUUCCCUUUCAGCUCUGGUGAGAGUGGCUCUUAACUCUUACAGCCUUUGGCUGCUGGAGAGGCUGUGAUGGGGAUCUCCAUACCACCGCUUUUACGUCUUGAUAGGCUGGUUACAUCAACUGAGAAAGAGAUUGGAAGACACCUGGUGCAUUCACUCGAGGCAUGGGACAUCUGUGCCCAGGGUCAGCCAACUGCUUUCCACCAAGUCUCCCUGGGACCCUGACUUGCCAGACCAAAUGUUUUGCCUGUAGGAGCCUCAAGGGCUACCCCAUUCCGUACAGCCUGCCAGAUCUCUAGGCUUGUAGAGUAAGAAAGAUACCCCCUUGGCCCUCAUCUGAUUCCAUCUAGGGGAAAUACGGCUAUGAAUUUGGUGAGAAGUUAGGCAAGGUUGGUCUUUGAAAUGAGGCCAUGAUUGGAAACAAAAGAGGCAAACAUUUUGCCUCCUGCUGCAGCCCCUUUCCUCCACCACUGCCAAAACAUAGACUGGGGGCCGGAUACCCUCACCUUCAUGCCUCACAGGCCAUGUGUAGGCAAGGGAUUAGGCAUCUUGGUUAACAAGAAUGAUGGAGAACAGUCCCCAUUUAUUUGGUAAGGUGACUGCUUGUACCAAGCACUCUGCAUAACCCUGAUCUUUGUAACAGCCAUGAGAGAUGAAUAAUUGUUAGGUCCAUCCUACAGAUGAGGAAACUAAGGUUCAGAGAUUGAGUCGCUCCCAUAGCUGUCAAGUAUCAGGCCAGGAAUAGACCCAGCUCUGUCUGUCCAAGUUGUUACCCACUAUCACAGAUAGCCUUCUAGGGGCGGGGUACAGGGAGGAGGAGGGGUAUUCUGGGCUAGGCCAGGCCAGGCAGGUGAAGGGAUGAUUCAGUUUGUACCCUGGGAAUUAGAGGCCUUCAUUCUGCCACCAGAACUGACCUGGACGCAGAUGGGCUCUGGUGCUGCCUUUACCUGUGUUUUGCUUGAGCACGUUACCAUCUUCUCUGGGCUCCAGUUUCUUCAUGUGUUAAAUGUAAGAGUAAACCCUGCCCUCCCUAACUCUUAGGGGCGUUAGUGAGGCUCUCAUGAGACAAUAGGAGCCCUGGUGGCAUAGUGGUUAAGUGCUCAGCUGCUAACUGAGAGAUUGGUGGUUUGAACCCAUCAGCCUGCUCUGCGGGAGAAAGACGUGGCAGUCUGCUUCCGUAAAGAUCACAGCCUUGGAAACCCUGUGGGGCAACUCUGCUCUGUCCUACAGGGUUGCUAUGCGUUGAUUCUAUGGCAGCAGGUUAAUGAGACAAUGGAAGUGAAACCACUUGGGAAUGGGCUGCCUGUGGCCAAAAGCUAUCAGGCCAUCAUGGAAUGGGAAUUGGAGCCUCUCAAGGACAGGGGAAGGCCCCACCCAGAGCAGAAAGCUGAGAAAUUGAGAGCCCCCUUCAGGGUUGACCCUUCUCUCAGUGCCAUCACUUGCCCUCCUUUUAAGGUCUCUUUUAUGCAUUGUAGCACAGGUCAGAGGUAGGUAUGUGUCUUAUCUAACCCCAGCCUAUGUCCUGGGAGUCUGCUCCAUCUCUUCAAAGCUUCCCCAGGGGCCAAGGUUGAAAUGCUUGGGACAAGUUCUGAGGCUUUGGACCUGGGUUUAAAUCCCAGCUCUGUCACUCACUAGCUAUGUGACCUUGGACAAGUCAUUUCACUUUUCUGAGCCUUGAUUUCCUUAUCUGUAACGGGGGGGAUUGUAACUUUUUAUUACUUAGGAUCCUAACUUUUUAUUACUUAGGAUCCUUUUGGUGGUAAGUGGAGCAAAGGAAUCCUGGCCAGACCACCAGUAUAGUAGUUAUCUAUUGCUGUAUAUCAAUUUAACCCUAAAAUUUAGUAGCUUAAAACAACAAAGAUUUUUUAUUCCCAUUUCUGUGGUCCAAGAAUUUGAGAGCAGCUUAGCUGGUUGACUCUGACGGAAUAGUCUUUCAUGAGGUUGCUGUCAAGAUUUCUGUCAGGCUGCAGUCAUCUGAAGGCCUGACUAGAGCUGGAGGAUCCACAACGCAUCGCUGCUGCUGGAUGAGGCGGUGGCUGAAGCCCACCUGGGCAAGCUGAACGUGAAGCUGACCAAGCUGACUGAGAAGCAAGCCCAGUACCUGGGCUUGCCCUCCGAUGGCCCCUUCAAGGCUGAU
This is an RNA transcript of Trichechus manatus latirostris (Florida manatee), 4946 nucleotides long. It is a transcript of the gene named adenosylhomocysteinase, with no coding region annotated. NCBI's taxonomy places the organism in Eukaryota, Metazoa, Chordata, Mammalia, Sirenia, Trichechidae. The transcript has 10 exons. The record is from RefSeq and is a predicted model, not a curated record.